This 465-nucleotide ribosomal RNA is filed under the name Salmonella enterica. RNAcentral's name for it is "bacterial SSU rRNA". It matches the Rfam family "Bacterial small subunit ribosomal RNA", at positions 269 to 726 of the family's 1533-position model. The record is from RNAcentral. Lineage: Bacteria; Pseudomonadati; Pseudomonadota; Gammaproteobacteria; Enterobacterales; Enterobacteriaceae.
CAAGGCGACGAUCCCUAGCUGGUCUGAGAGGAUGACCAGCCACACUGGAACUGAGACACGGUCCAGACUCCUACGGGAGGCAGCAGUGGGGAAUAUUGCACAAUGGGCGCAAGCCUGAUGCAGCCAUGCCGCGUGUAUGAAGAAGGCCUUCGGGUUGUAAAGUACUUUCAGCGGGGAGGAAGGUGUUGUGGUUAAUAACCGCAGCAAUUGACGUUACCCGCAGAAGAAGCACCGGCUAACUCCGUGCCAGCAGCCGCGGUAAUACGGAGGGUGCAAGCGUUAAUCGGAAUUACUGGGCGUAAAGCGCACGCAGGCGGUCUGUCAAGUCGGAUGUGAAAUCCCCGGGCUCAACCUGGGAACUGCAUUCGAAACUGGCAGGCUUGAGUCUUGUAGAGGGGGGUAGAAUUCCAGGUGUAGCGGUGAAAUGCGUAGAGAUCUGGAGGAAUACCGGUGGCGAAGGCGGCC